CUGUCCUGCCAGGUCCGGGUCGGCGGCUGCACGGCGGAUGAGACCGGUGCGACUCAUGAAGGUGUUCGUCACCCGCAGGAUACCCGCCGAGGGCAGGGUCGCGCUCGCCCGGGCGGCAGACUGUGAGGUGGAGCAGUGGGACUCGGAUGAGCCCAUCCCCGCCAAGGAGCUAGAGCGAGGUGUGGCGGGGGCCCACGGCCUGCUCUGCCUCCUCUCCGACUGCGUGGACAAGAGGAUCCUGGAUGCCGCAGGGGCCAAUCUCAAAGUCAUCAGCACCAUGUCUGCGGGCUUCGACCACUUGGCUUUGGAUGAAAUCAAGAAGCGUGGGAUCCGAGUUGGCUACACCCCAGAUGUCCUGACAGAUACCACCGCCGAACUCGCAGUCUCCCUGCUACUUACCACCUGCCGUCGGUUGCCAGAGGCCAUCGAGGAAGUGAAGAAUGGUGGCUGGACCUCGUGGAAGCCCCUCUGGCUGUGUGGCUAUGGACUCACGCAGAGCACUGUCGGCAUCAUCGGGCUGGGGCGCAUAGGCCAGGCCAUUGCUCGGCGUCUGAAACCAUUUGGUGUCCAGAGAUUUCUGUACACAGGGCGCCAGCCCAGGCCUGAGGAAGCAGCGGAAUUCCAGGCAGAGUUUGUGUCUACCCCUGAGCUGGCUGCCCAGUCUGAUUUCAUCGUCGUGGCCUGCUCCUUAACGCCUGCAACUGAGGGACUCUGCAACAAGGACUUCUUCCAGAAGAUGAAGGAAACAGCUGUGUUCAUCAACAUCAGCAGGUAUCCUAGGGCCACCUUACCCAGCAAGCCUGGAGAGGAGCCGUCCCCACUGCUGCCAUCUGGAGAUUUUCUUCCCUGUGGGUUGUUGAUGAGACCCCAGGCUGAGCUUGCUGGUUUCCAUAAACCAGACAACCAACUCAGAAAUUCGUGGGAAUACACGAGAGCUUCGCACAGGGAAGAAGAGCCAUUGGAGUGGGCCUGGCCUGUCUGCUUCUCAGCAGUGGCCCCCGCCCGGCAGGGCCUGGCACACAGCAGUGUGGCUUCAGGGAGUGUUCCCAGGGAGCCUCGGCAGGCCCAUUGUCCUCCACCACAAAGGGCUGGACUUCGGGAUCUGAAGGGCCCUCUGGAGGCCGCCUCCCACACUGCUGAGCCUGGCUUUGGCUGGCUGUGGUUCAGUGAUACUUUGAACAUUAUGCUCCUGGGCAGACAGACCCUAAAACUCACGUGGUUGUAGCUCCUCAUACUGUCCCUAGGGGUGCCUUCAGGCCACUGGGCAUGUAUGGGGGUCAGACCUUCCUUCUCUGCCACUCCAAGCCCUUCCUAGCUGGUGCCCCUUAAGCCAGUUUACAUCAGUUUAGGGGAAGGGGGAUUGGGUGAGGUCAUCCCGAGGACUCAUCCACCCCAAAAGUACCUGUAAUUACCAACGUUUAGCUACAAAACAGGUGACCUGGGAAUGGAAGAGUGAAACAUGCAGGACCACAGGGCUCGCACUGCUGGCUGGCAGCAGUCACAGCUGCCGUGUACUGGGUGCCUGCGUGUACCCAGGACAGCCCAGGACCCUGUAUUACUCAUUAAUGCACAAGUAUUACUUAGUGCACAAUAUACAGUCUCUAGAAGAUGACUUCUUGCCUUCAGUCGUCGCUCCCUUUGAUGGAUGUGGUUAGGGGUGUGCUCAUUCCUCUGCCCUGGUUUAGACAGGUACCUGAUAGCACACUGUGGUGCUUCUCAUUGGGGGUCUGGGGGUCAACCAGAUCAGAAACACUUGGAUGGGGCCUAACACAGAUGCCCUUCUGGGCCCUGUUCAUGCAGUAGAGCAUGUAAGAAAGCUUUAAUCCUCCCAACAUGCCUGGGAG
RNAcentral lists this small RNA (1844 nucleotides) under Pongo abelii (Sumatran orangutan). Its description in RNAcentral is "retained intron". Lineage: Eukaryota; Metazoa; Chordata; Mammalia; Primates; Hominidae. The record is from RNAcentral.